UCUGUUUUUUAAAUGUAGCAUGAAAGUUAACCAUUUAUUGACUGUUUAGAGGUUGUAAGGCUUUUACCUAACUGUAUUUAGUAUUAAUGAUGCUGCAUUCUUUCCUCAGAAGCUAAUGUUUUUCAAAGACAUUUGUAGGGAGGACUUUGCAGCUAAUGGAGCUGAAGUAUUUUAUGUAAGGAGGAUUUUGCAGCCCAUAUAGAUUUCCUUAGGCUGAACCAAAACCUGCCAGACUAAAGUUGAUUUGGGAGAGAAAGACGUUGUAAACUCAAUCAUCUUGACAUUCUUCAAUGAGUAAUUGUUCAAUUUUUAGGCAAAUACUGUACACUUUGAAUGCUGUGAAUAAAACUAUAUUUUAAAUAUAUUUAAAAUGAAUUGUUUUUGACUGUUUUAAUCAGCUUUUAUUUAUUUGGAAAAAAUUAUUUUGGUUAUGUUACCAGCUAAAGUAAUCUAUUCCCAAAAUAGCACUCUUUAAGUUAACUAAUUAUUAACGCACUUGAAGUA
Molecule: long non-coding RNA, 504 nt
Organism: Paramisgurnus dabryanus
Lineage: Eukaryota; Metazoa; Chordata; Actinopteri; Cypriniformes; Cobitidae
Source: RefSeq, a predicted model, not a curated record